GGUAAUACUGUCAAUCAACAUUUAAGAGAUGUGAAAAUAUUGCUGAGCUUGUUCAUUUAUUUAGCCAGCGUCCUGGGAUUUCUCCACUGGGCUGCUGAGCUAAGCUUGAGGAUGUAGAGUCAGUUCCAUGCUUGCUCUUCCAGAGGUAGGUUCUGAGGACAAGGAUGAAGAACUGGCCCGUGGAUCCCUGAUUCAGUGAGUGAAGCUUGUGCGUGCAGUGAUAGAUCCAGCCUGAUUUUCUCUUAAAAUUGGGAGCCAUCUCGCCACAAAGCCAUGAAAAGCUAAUUUCAGCUUUACUGUAAAUUACUGCAAAUUCUGAACUUGCUUGGAAUGCCUACCCAUGCCUUGAACUCACCCAUGCCUGGCUCUCUGUGACCAGAUAGCAGCCCUCUCUGAAACUUUAGUGACGCCUCAUCAAUCUUGGCCUUCCCUGGCCAGAUAAUGACCCUCUCUGAGGCUCAAAUGAUCUUCAUAAAUUCUGAUGUUGGGCCAGCAAAAAUGUAAACUAACCUUUGUGUUAUGCUCAUCAGAGUUUUGUUAUCUGUAACCCCCCUUUUGUGUAAUUUUCUGGGCUAUAAAUCUGGGCUGCAAGAAAGAUGCAGUGCUGUCUUGUUCCCGUGGUUUUUGUUGGGAGAGGCAGCCCGGCCGGUUGAAAUAAUAAGCUUGCUUUAAUUUGAUUUUAAUUGGAGUCAGUGGUCUUUUCCUGCAUCCUGGUCUAACAGCAGAACAGGGAAGGAGAUGGAGAAGAAAGGAUGUAUUCUGCCUGGUGUGGGGGGCAGGCUUCAGCAAGGUGGCACUGCUAAGGAAGAUCUCUAAAGACGGCAAGGGCACUACUUGAGGAAGGUGCGACCAACCCUGGACAC
Molecule: long non-coding RNA, 863 nt
Filed under: Marmota monax (woodchuck)
Lineage: Eukaryota; Metazoa; Chordata; Mammalia; Rodentia; Sciuridae
Source: RNAcentral